This 83-nucleotide transfer RNA is filed under the name Candidatus Woesearchaeota archaeon. RNAcentral describes it as "tRNA-Ser". It matches the Rfam family "tRNA". Rfam says of the family: Transfer RNA (tRNA) molecules are approximately 80 nucleotides in length. Their secondary structure includes four short double-helical elements and three loops (D, anti-codon, and T loops). Lineage: Archaea; Nanobdellati; Candidatus Woesearchaeota. The record is from RNAcentral.
GCCGUCGUAGUCUAACCCGGUAAGGCGCCCGCCUCGAAAGCGGGAUCCGCAAGGAAUUGCAGGUUCAAAUCCUGCCGACGGCG